This 73-nucleotide transfer RNA is filed under the name Clostridiales bacterium CHKCI006. It matches the Rfam family "tRNA". Rfam says of the family: Transfer RNA (tRNA) molecules are approximately 80 nucleotides in length. Their secondary structure includes four short double-helical elements and three loops (D, anti-codon, and T loops). Lineage: Bacteria; Bacillati; Bacillota; Clostridia; Eubacteriales. The record is from Rfam by way of RNAcentral.
GGGGUCUUAGCUCAGCUGGGAGAGUGCCUGCGUCGCAUGCAGGAGGUCGGGAGUUCGAUCCUCCUAGGCUCCA